GAUGAACGCUGGCGGCGUGCUAAUACAUGCAAGUCGAACGCUUUGUGGUUCAACUGAUUUGAAGAGCUUGCUCAGAUAUGACGAUGGACAUUGCAAAGAGUGGCGAACGGGUGAGUAACACGUGGGAAACCUACCUCUUAGCAGGGGAUAACAUUUGGAAACAGAUGCUAAUACCGUAUAACAAUGACAACCGCAUGGUUGUUAUUUAAAAGAUGGUUCUGCUAUCACUAAGAGAUGGUCCCGCGGUGCAUUAGCUAGUUGGUAAGGUAAUGGCUUACCAAGGCGAUGAUGCAUAGCCGAGUUGAGAGACUGAUCGGCCACAAUGGGACUGAGACACGGCCCAUACUCCUACGGGAGGCAGCAGUAGGGAAUCUUCCACAAUGGGCGAAAGCCUGAUGGAGCAACGCCGCGUGUGUGAUGAAGGGUUUCGGCUCGUAAAACACUGUUGUAAGAGAAGAAUGACAUUGAGAGUAACUGUUCAAUGUGUGACGGUAUCUUACCAGAAAGGAACGGCUAAAUACGUGCCAGCAGCCGCGGUAAUACGUAUGUUCCAAGCGUUAUCCGGAUUUAUUGGGCGUAAAGCGAGCGCAGACGGUUAUUUAAGUCUGAAGUGAAAGCCCUCAGCUCAACUGAGGAAUUGCUUUGGAAACUGGAUGACUUGAGUGCAGUAGAGGAAAGUGGAACUCCAUGUGUAGCGGUGAAAUGCGUAGAUAUAUGGAAGAACACCAGUGGCGAAGGCGGCUUUCUGGACUGUAACUGACGUUGAGGCUCGAAAGUGUGGGUAGCAAACAGGAUUAGAUACCCUGGUAGUCCACACCGUAAACGAUGAGUGCUAGGUGUUUGAGGGUUUCCGCCCUUAAGUGCCGCAGCUAACGCA
RNAcentral lists this ribosomal RNA (877 nucleotides) under Weissella confusa. RNAcentral's name for it is "bacterial SSU rRNA". It matches the Rfam family "Bacterial small subunit ribosomal RNA", at positions 28 to 859 of the family's 1533-position model. The record is from RNAcentral. Lineage: Bacteria; Bacillati; Bacillota; Bacilli; Lactobacillales; Lactobacillaceae.